Molecule: unclassified non-coding RNA, 232 nt
Filed under: Hevea brasiliensis (rubber tree)
Lineage: Eukaryota; Viridiplantae; Streptophyta; Magnoliopsida; Malpighiales; Euphorbiaceae
Source: RNAcentral
AAAAAAGUUUUUAUUUAGAUUAAAAAAUUAAUUUCAAUUUUAAUUUUUUAUAUUUAGCUACUAUAUAAAAAAAAAGUCGUGAUUUGAUGGUUCAUUCGUGAGCUAAUUUAUCAUGCCAAAGCAAUUAAUUAAAAAAAAAUUGCAUUGACAAUGUUUACCUUUCAUUUUCUAAUUAAUUUCCCUUUUAUAUAUUACUUUAAAAAAUUUUAUUUUAUUUUUCAUAAAUUUAAAU